Molecule: ribosomal RNA, 2359 nt
Filed under: Acinetobacter baumannii 564012
Lineage: Bacteria; Pseudomonadati; Pseudomonadota; Gammaproteobacteria; Moraxellales; Moraxellaceae
Also listed under: 1 other name
Description: bacterial LSU rRNA
Rfam family: Bacterial large subunit ribosomal RNA
Source: RNAcentral
CCUUCGUGGUGUGACUGCGUACCUUUUGUAUAAUGGGUCAGCGACUUAUAUUCAGUAGCGAGGUUAACCGUAUAGGGGAGCCGUAGAGAAAUCGAGUCUUAAUAGGGCGUUUAGUUGCUGGGUAUAGACCCGAAACCAGGCGAUCUAUCCAUGAGCAGGUUGAAGGUUGGGUAACACUAACUGGAGGACCGAACCCACUGUCGUUGAAAAGCCAGGGGAUGACUUGUGGAUAGGGGUGAAAGGCUAAUCAAGCCUGGUGAUAGCUGGUUCUCCCCGAAAGCUAUUUAGGUAGCGCCUCGGACGAAUACCAUAGGGGGUAGAGCACUGUUUCGGCUAGGGGGUCAUCCCGACUUACCAAACCGAUGCAAACUCCGAAUACCUAUGAGUACUAUCCGGGAGACAGACUGCGGGUGCUAACGUCCGUAGUCAAGAGGAAAACAAUCCAGACCGCCAGCUAAGGCCCCAAAAUCAUAGUUAAGUGGGAAACGAUGUGGGAAGGCAUAGACAGCUAGGAGGUUGGCUUAGAAGCAGCCACCCUUUAAAGAAAGCGUAAUAGCUCACUAGUCGAGUCGGCCUGCGCGGAAGAUGUAACGGGGCUAAAACUAUGUGCCGAAGCUGCGGAUGUAUACUUUGUAUACGUGGUAGGGGAGCGUUCUGUAAGCCGAUGAAGGUGUGUUGAGAAGCAUGCUGGAGGUAUCAGAAGUGCGAAUGCUGACGUGAGUAACGACAAAACGGGUGAAAAACCCGUUCGCCGAAAGACCAAGGGUUCCAGUCCAACGUUAAUCGGGGCUGGGUGAGUCGACCCCUAAGGCGAGGCCGAAAGGCGUAGUCGAUGGGAAAAUGGUUAAUAUUCCAUUACUUCUGUGUAAUGCGAUGAGAGGACGGAGAAGGCUAAAUCAGCCUGGCGUUGGUUGUCCAGGUGAAAGGAUGUAGGCAUGUAUCUUAGGCAAAUCCGGGGUACUCUAUGCUGAGAUCUGAUAGCAAGCUGUACUUGUACAGCGAAGUGGUUGAUGCCAUGCUUCCAGGAAAAGUCUCUAAGCUUCAGUUACACAGGAAUCGUACCCGAAACCGACACAGGUGGUCAGGUCGAGUAGACCAAGGCGCUUGAGAGAACUCUGCUGAAGGAACUAGGCAAAAUGGUACCGUAACUUCGGGAGAAGGUACGCUGUUGUUGGUGAUGGAACUCGCUUCCUGAGCUGACGACAGCCGCAGAAACCAGGCCGCUGCAACUGUUUAUUAAAAACAUAGCACUCUGCAAACACGAAAGUGGACGUAUAGGGUGUGAUGCCUGCCCGGUGCUGGAAGGUUAAUUGAUGGGGUUAGCGUAAGCGAAGCUCUUGAUCGAAGCCCCAGUAAACGGCGGCCGUAACUAUAACGGUCCUAAGGUAGCGAAAUUCCUUGUCGGGUAAGUUCCGACCUGCACGAAUGGCAUAAUGAUGGCGGCGCUGUCUCCAGCAGAGGCUCAGUGAAAUCGAAAUCGCUGUGAAGAUGCAGUGUACCCGCGGCUAGACGGAAAGACCCCGUGAACCUUUACUGCAGCUUGACACUGAACUUUGACCUUACUUGUGUAGGAUAGGUGGGAGGCUUUGAAGCUGGAACGCUAGUUCCAGUGGAGCCGUCCUUGAAAUACCACCCUGGUAAUGUUGAGGUUCUAACUCUGUCCCGUGAUCCGGGACGAGGACCGUGUCUGGUGGGUAGUUUGACUGGGGCGGUCUCCUCCUAAAGAGUAACGGAGGAGUACGAAGGUGCGCUCAGCGUGGUCGGAAAUCACGCGUAGAGUAUAAAGGCAAAAGCGCGCUUAACUGCGAGACCCACAAGUCGAGCAGGUACGAAAGUAGGUCUUAGUGAUCCGGUGGUUCUGUAUGGAAGGGCCAUCGCUCAACGGAUAAAAGGUACUCUGGGGAUAACAGGCUGAUACCGCCCAAGAGUUCAUAUCGACGGCGGUGUUUGGCACCUCGAUGUCGGCUCAUCUCAUCCUGGGGCUGAAGCAGGUCCCAAGGGUAUGGCUGUUCGCCAUUUAAAGAGGUACGCGAGCUGGGUUUAGAACGUCGUGAGACAGUUCGGUCCCUAUCUACCGUGGGCGCUGGAAAUUUGAGAGGAUCUGCUCCUAGUACGAGAGGACCAGAGUGGACGAACCUCUGGUGUACCGGUUGUGACGCCAGUCGCAUCGCCGGGUAGCUAUGUUCGGAAGGGAUAACCGCUGAAAGCAUCUAAGCGGGAAGCCUACCUCAAGAUAAGAUUUCCCUAGGACUUUAUGUCCUCUAAAGAGCCGUUCGAGACUAGGACGUUGAUAGGUUGGAUGUGGAAGCAUAGUGAUAUGUGAAGCUGACCAAUACUAAUUGCUCGUGAGGCUUGACUA